This 253-nucleotide ribosomal RNA is filed under the name uncultured bacterium. Its description in RNAcentral is "partial 16S ribosomal RNA". It matches the Rfam family "Bacterial small subunit ribosomal RNA", at positions 524 to 776 of the family's 1533-position model. The record is from RNAcentral.
UACAGAGGUCCCGAGCGUUGUUCGGAUUCAUUGGGCGUAAAGGGUGCGUAGGCGGUUUGCUAAGUUUGAUGUGAAAUUCCGGGGCUCAACCCUGGCAUGGCAUUGAAUACUGGCGGACUAGAGUACUGGAGAGGAAACUGGAAUUUACGGUGUAGCAGUGAAAUGCGUAGAGAUCGUAAGGAAGACCAGUGGCGAAGGCGAGUUUCUGGACAGUAACUGACGCUGAGGCACGAAGGCCAGGGGAGCAAACGGG